Molecule: long non-coding RNA, 580 nt
Organism: Strongylocentrotus purpuratus (purple sea urchin)
Lineage: Eukaryota; Metazoa; Echinodermata; Echinoidea; Camarodonta; Strongylocentrotidae
Exons: 3
Source: RefSeq, a predicted model, not a curated record
UAUUCAUGAGCUUGACUGCCCAUAUUAUCCUCUAUUCCAGGCACCUUUCCAUUUUGUGUUCUUCGUGCAUUCUUAUCAGAAAUCCUACGUGCAGUAAAUAAGUCUCUGUAUCACUAUUCUCCUUCUUAUUUGUAUGCAGAUUUGGGUAUAAUGAUUGAUAACUGUAAUCAUCCUCAUUAUUUUAAUAAGAAAUUGUUCUUUCUGUGAUGGAAGUUUUUAUGUACGAUUGCCUGAUCUGAAGACAAGACUUUCGCUGCACGAUAUUUAAUAUAUGACGUCACCCACACAGAGUGAGCGUUCGAGGUUUUCUUUGAAAGUUUGAUGGAAAAUGUACAGAGAGACUUGUCGCAGUUAAUGCAGUACCAAAUGCUUGCUUUUUUGGAGUAUGUGCUUGAAACAAGAAUGUCCUGGAGAAAACAGACCACCACAAGAGAAGACAUACAUGUACAGUGUGGACUAUGAAGUUCUACUUAGCCUCUUCAAUGAACUGCUGGAGCUGCGACUGGGUAUCAAAACCUUGGUAUUAUAAACCUCAUAACCAGUGGCGGAGAUAUGUUGUUAGCCGGGGGGGGGGGGGGGG